CCGCCGGUGAGCCCGGCUUCUGGCUUCUGGAUCGGGGGCUGAGAAGGCCUCUUUGGCUUUUUCCGAGUACCUGCCCCUUGUAGAGGGCAAAAGUUGAGAAAAUGAUAAUUGUUUAUUGAAGGCCUGCAGUGAGUCAGGAACUGCGUCAAGCAAGAGUUUCCUUGCCAUUCCUCAUUUCGUCCUCGUGUCGGCUCUUCGUACAGUGUCCUACGAGGGAGUCGCUAUCAUACCCGUUUUACAGAGGGGAAAACUAAGGCGCAAAGAAAUACCUUGUUCAAAGUCGCAGCUCACGGCCUAAACCCGACGGAGCGGCCCUCUGAACCUUCCCAGACCCGCCGCCCACACUGAGCCGACCAGUCUCCUCAGUCUGAUGCAGCCCCCUGGACUUGGACAUUCCCUUGCUGCAUUGUUUAGAAUUACAGAGAAGAAUGGAGAUGGAGAUUUGCUGAGAACACCUGCAAAAACUCUGCCUCCCACACUCUAGCUUGGAAACAAAAUGGUGCUACAAAGAUAGAAAUUUCAGGUACAACCUCAAGGACCUCAUCCAGCUGGCUUUACGUGCUUCAAAAUAGCUUUCUCUACUUCCUCGACUGAGGACAGUCUCUAUCCUGAUUACAAAUGGAAUCUUACCAUUUCCCUGGGCUAGAGAGCUCCAGGUGGUGAAGGGGGAAGCAGGUCUCUAAGGAGUGAGCAGAGAGAACCACCACCAGCCUUAUUCUUCACAAACCACGUUCAAGCCUGUAGUCAAUGGGGCUGACCAGAGCAAAGAGCCAAAGUUGGCCGUGAAAGCCUGACCCCUGUACUGUGACUCAUCCAGAGACACAAAAUGGAUGUGUAAUCCUUCCAUUUCCCCUCUCCCCAUCUUAGGCCUAGUGGCUGUUGAUGAAAACCAGGUGGUAAGUUGGCCAAAUAAGGUCUACCUGUUGCGCUCUCCUUUGCAGAGCCCCAGGUAUCUAUCAGUUGUAGAUAUUAAAUAGAACCUUUAAUACGUACAGAUGUACAGUCUCCCAGAGAACAAGAAGGGAAAUUCUUGUGACGCAGUCACACUUGGGAGCCUGCCAGUGGUAUGAGGUGGCUGAGGCUGCUCCUCUGCCACGGCCUGCCUUCCCUGGGCCUGGCCUCAUCAGCACUUGUUUUUUCUUGGGAAGGAGGGAGAGAGUAGCCCCAGGGGUAAGAACAGAGUCUUGGGGAGCUCCAGGGCUGGCACAGAUGAGCGCAGACCCAGAAAGGAAUCAGCCAGUCAGCAACAGAUGGGAGGCUGAAAUCAGAGUAGAAAACAAAAGGUUGAAGUGGACACGACCCCCCAAGAGUUAAAGAAGGGAUGGACGUAAAGAUAUACAUGUUUGUCUGGAUUCGCAUGCGCAGAAAACAGCCUGGUGAGAAAAUUACCCAGUCUCUGAAUUCACUUAUUUAAUAAUAAUAAUUCAGAAGAAGCAAUCUCAGCUGUAGACCAAGUCAUCUAGUUUCAGAACAUUCAUCCCUCGAAAAAAAGUGCAUCCCUCUGGCAGUCAGUGGUAUAGAUAUGAGCUCUCCCUUUCACUCAUACACUCAUGCACAGGCCUCUGUGACUCCAGCUUGGCUGACACAGCCACCUUAGAAUAACCCCUAAACGCAGGAUUUCUGUUCUCGGGAGUCACCAUAUCCAAUGUUACUCUAAGCAACAGAGAGUAAAGGAUAUAAGAUUAUUGUAUUAAUUUGCCUAGAACCAAUUCACCUAGAGACAGUCUAAAAUAUUUAUCAAAUCUGCAGCAUUUCAAAAGGAUUUAGUAGAUUCACCCUUUCACUUUUUAUCAUUCUGGUCUAUGUAAACUUUUUUAGCCAACUGAAUAUGCCCCAUGCUUGUUCAUUUGUUCAUUAGAAUACAUUGGCAUUUUUAACUGCAGGAAUGUAGAAGUUAGACCAAAGCAUCAAAAUCAUGAGCUCCAUUACAUUAUCCAAGGCACCUAAUUUGUAAAGGAAUAUUUGAUUAAGAAACACAAAAAAUGAUACACGAAAUAUCUGUACC
Long non-coding RNA from Canis lupus familiaris (dog), 2005 nucleotides. RefSeq lists it as uncharacterized. The transcript is spliced from 3 exons. The record is from RefSeq and is a predicted model, not a curated record. Lineage: Eukaryota; Metazoa; Chordata; Mammalia; Carnivora; Canidae.